RNAcentral lists this ribosomal RNA (351 nucleotides) under Orectogyrus sp. KBMOgsp663. RNAcentral describes it as "partial 12S ribosomal RNA". Lineage: Eukaryota; Metazoa; Arthropoda; Insecta; Coleoptera; Gyrinidae. The record is from RNAcentral.
UAAAAAUGUAAAAAAUAUAACUAAAAAAUUAGUAGUUAUGGUCUUUAAAUUUAAAAAAUUUGGCGGUAUUUUAGUCUAUUCAGAGGAACCUGUUCUAUAAUUGAUAAUCCACGAUUAGAAAUACUUAAUUUAAAAGUUUGUAUAUCGUUGUUUAAAUAAUUUUAUAAGAAAAAUAAUUAUUAAGGUAUUUAAUUAAAUAAAUAAUCAAAUCAAGGUGCAGUUUAUAUUUAAGAAGAAAUGGGUUACAAUAAAAAUUAUUUAUAUGAAUUAUAUUAUUAAAUUAAUAUAUAAAGGAGGAUUUGAUAGUAAAUAUAUAUAUAUAUAUAUAUUGAUUAUAGCUCUAUAAUAUGU